GAAUCUUCCACAAUGGACGACAGUCUGAUGGAGCAACGCCGCGUGAGUGAAGAAGGUUUUCGGAUCGUAAAACUCUGUUGUAAGGGAAGAACACGUACGAGAGUAACUGCCCGUACCUUGACGGUACCUUAUUAGAAAGCCACGGCUAACUACGCGCCACCAUCCGCGGUAAGACGUAGGUGGCAAGCGUUGUCCGGAAUUAUUGGGCGUACAGCGCGCGCAGGCGGUUCUUUAAGUCUGAUGUGAAAGCCCACGGCUCAACCGUGGAGGGUCAUUGGAAACUGGAGAACUUGAGUACAGAAGAGGAAAGCGGAAUUCUACGUGUAGCGGUGAAAUGCGUAGAGAUGUGGAGGAACACCAGUGGCGAAGGCGGCUUUCUGGUCUGUAACUGACGCUGAGGCGCGAAAGCGUGGGGAGCAAACAGG
Molecule: ribosomal RNA, 425 nt
Filed under: uncultured bacterium
Lineage: Bacteria
Description: bacterial SSU rRNA
Rfam family: Bacterial small subunit ribosomal RNA
Source: RNAcentral